AAAAGUUGCAGGUGUGCUGUGGGAAGAGGAUUAACUCGGCUGUGUACAGCCUUGUUUCUGUGGCGACCACAUGUGCUACUCUCCUUGGAAAUGCCUGGAUUUGGUUAGAUUUGCUGUGCUGGGUUUGUUGAAGUGUGAGCCUCCUGUAGAAAGGUCAGUGUGGUCUGUGUCUAUCCUUCUGUCUGUCUUUGACUUCUCUUUCUCUCUCUGCCUCUCUGCAUCUGUCUCUCUCUCCUGCCCUCCACCUCCCUCCCCCCACCACACGCACUUAUUUUAAAGAACAGUUUCCACCUCUUAGGAGAGACAUAAAGCCCCCUCUGCAAUGAAGAAGCUGCAUCUGAAAAGAGCCUGCUGGGUGCUCCGUGCUGCACCAGAGAAUUAAUUGAGUCCAAGUGGACAAAUAUUUGAGCUCAAUUAUGGGCUGAGGCGUUUUGGCAGAGUCAUUUGAGGAGCGAGCACAUGAGAUUCCCCUCCGAUGGUGCGUGACAGCUGGAGUGUGGUCAUCUGGGAGCUGGGGCCACCUCUGGGCAAAUCUGCUCGCUCCUUACCCAGGCUGUUCCACCCCAUGUCCACGCCAAGGCUCGGUUCCUGCCAAGUGGCCCUGUGCAUGCUUAUUCCACCAAUGAGCCUUCAUCCUCAAGUACGAGUCUACAUUCCUUGUGUCUGCUCGUCCUGGGCGUAGCUCUCUGCGGCACGCACUCUGUGACUUGAGAGCUCGGUGUCUGAGUGUGCCUGGGUGUGUGCGUGUCAUGCGCUAGUAUGUAACUGAAGGGCUCUGGCUUCAGCAGCCCUGCAACGUGGGUGUAAAGAUCUGUCCUUGGCCAAACUGCUUCCCUACAAACUGGGAUGGUCCCUCCAAACUUGGUGAGACUGGGGAGAGAGCCCGCAUGUUCCUAGGGCAGAAAUGAGGACCUUUAGGUCCUGCUUCCUUCUCCUCCAGGAAGGGAACUUCCUGCUAUCUUCAGCCCUCCAACCUCUUGUAGAAUCUGUCCCCUUGUCCCAAGGUAUCCAUGGGCUGCAGCCUAACAGCCUUAGCCUCUGGGGGCUGGGUGAUGGGGACCCACCCCCCACAAUGGCCCACUAUUCCCUCUAAGUCUUCCAGAAAGGCACACGAGAGCAGAGGCGCAGCAGCCCUUCUGUAGGACGAUGAAAGCCCCUCCCUCAUCACCCCUACUGCACCUCUUGCCUUCGCACCGGCAGGCUGGGUUCUUUGAUGAAGCCAGGGGCACAAAGGACUUUGUACGGGGCUCACAGAGGCAGACUGAGGGCCAAGACCCCUCUAACACAAGAGCCUGGGAAUCGGAAACUGGGAAGGCCCUUUCAGUGGCUCCCUUUCUCAGAAUAAGACCUCAGGACCAUGGAAAACAUUUGGGCCUCUCUUCUGGAGAAAGAAAGCUGUGUUGCUUCACCCACACAGUGACGGAUUUCGCCCUCCGCCUUGGAGGAGACACAAGAGGCGCAGAGCUAACUUUCAGAGUCUGUCUCCUUGGGGCCCCAGCCCGGUCAUCUAUCCCCUUGUCCCCUGAGGCUAAACUGUGGAGUGCGGGACCUUAGUUCUGAGAAAUCUGUGUCAUAUGCUUUCAUCUGGACACAGGUCCUUUCCUCCCUCCUUCCCAAGUCCAAGCCAGGCCUCUGGGGAAGCCUGAAGGGGACAGACUUUGUUUACCUUAGUCCCGUCCAGAGAAGCACCAUUAACAUUGUUGCGUAAAUGGGGUCUUUUAAGCAUCUCUAGAGGCAGAUCUUAUCCCUCAUCUCUCCUGGAAGUGCUGUGUUUUUGUUGUUUUUUAACCAUACUGCUAGACUCAAUCACUUGGAUUCUUAGGAGUCACUAACCUCCCUCUGAUCCAACGCAUCUAAAAUAAACCCAAGUGCAUUUCCAAAUCAUCCAAAGAGGGUUUGAAAGGCAGCUCUCCAGGUUCCCCACAUAGAUUUUGAUCCUGCAGAUCUGGCAGGGACUGGGAAUCUCCAAUCCCUCAGGUGCUGAGGGAUUCCUGUGUGAGUGGUCACCAGAUCCCACUGGGUGGGUCAUAUAAACUAUGUAAUCCUGAAAAAUCUCUUCAAAAACUGGCAUGAGCAUUAAAUGAUGCAGUAUGGAUUAAGCCCUUAGCAGGUACCUAGCAGCUAGUACUUAGAGGUGAGUCAUGUCAGAAGUUGCAUCGGUAACAUUACUGUCACAAUAUGAAGGAGGAGGGCCUUUGAUCACUUCCUCUCAGCCCUAGGUCACCCUAAUUGGAAAGUCCAUUCCCUCGUGCUCCUGGCUUUCCUUUAUUCUCUUCUGCUUCUAGAGGCUCCCUGGGAGUCUCCUGCUUCCUAAAGUAGUUUUGCUACCUGUUAUUUUUGACUGGGUCCCCUGUACCUCUCUCUGCUCCAUCUCUAAAAGGUUUAUCACAGCUGUAUCUUCAUUGAAGCCCUGCUAGAACACAGGUUGGCUCGCUGAUGACAUUUUUGUUAGGAACACGAGCUUGUGUAAUAUACACAGAACUAUGAGCCUAACAUCCCAGCCUCAUUCACAUGAGGCCAGGACUAUGCCCUUGACUUAAGCCAAGGACUAUGCCCUUGACUUAAGCCAAAAACCGAUUUUCAUAUUUCCUAGGCAUCUACUGCCAGGCUCCAAUCCCCAUGGCAUGCUGUGUAUGGCUAUGUCCACAGCUACCUAAAUUAGGAUGCAAAUAGGAAUAGCUUAAGAGACUUGUUGACACCCGCAAAUUCCAAAGCUGAGUAUAUGACAGCACCCUCUUGCCUCAAUCUGUCUAUUGGCUUCUAGGAGGAGUUACUGGUUUCUCCAUCUUAGGAAGGUGCCUGGCAGCUGCUGUGGGUAGUCCCACUGUCUAGGCUACAGCUGGUUGGGAAGGGCACUCUCUCACCUCCCAGCAGCUUCCACAUGUGGGUACUGAGUUGAUGGGGACCUUCAUACCUACACACCUCCCCUCAUUUAGUUCCUCCAUCCUUUGUUGCUGGCACCUGUGCUUUCUUUCACCGAAAUGCCAAUAUCAAUAUCCAGGUUUAGCCUCUCCAGUAGAAUGCUGUUUGCCCAUUUAGACCAACUCACUUUAGGGCAAGAGUUUUUCAGAGCUCAGACUAACUCUCUAGGAUGCUAUAUUGAAUUUGGAGACCAAAGAGUCAUAAGAGUAGGGCUGAUUCUCCUAGCUUUGCUCUCUUUGGUUAAAAGUCAUCCUCCUCCAUUUUCCAUCCUCCUACUAUUUCUGCCUUUCACAUUAUUCCAUUAUUGUCUUUACAGCCUUGUUACUAUCUUAAACCAUCAUGCUCUUGUAUUUGUGUACUUGUUUAAUGCUACUCUCCCCUCAUGGACCUGUGAGCUCCAUGAGAACUUUUACAUGCCUUUUUUUGGUCGUUUUACAACAUAGAACUGCACAGGAUACUUAGUCAUUCAUGUACUUAUUAAUUUGGAAAAAGUAAAUAGAUGGAGCAAGAAACCAGGGUUAGACAUCUAUGAAUUCCCUGGCCAAACGUCAUGUUUAAUAUCUUCACUAAUAUCCCAAUAUCCGUUUCCUACAGCAAUUUCAUGCAAACAACAGCCCUGAAUGAGCUGUGAGGAUACCAGAGUCUUCCCAGGUAGAUGCACCAACUUCACCCUAACUGAAAGAACAGUGUAUUCAGGGCGCAGCGGGUGUGAUUGGAGGAACACCAAGAAAUAUAUCUGAUCCUCAGACUAACUUCCCAGCCUUUCUGGAAAGGGGAAAUCCUAUCAACUCAAAGUGAGAGAAAACUUUAUCAGGAAGAAAUUUUAUAGACUUGAAUUUCCCCAGAGGGACAGGAGAUGGAGGAGCGAUUGAGAGUGGGAUAUCUUGGAGAGCCAGAUUUUCAAAGCUUGUGGAUGGAAGAGGAGAGGGCAGUGUGUUACAUGGCAGAGGUUGGAAAAGAGCCCCCAACGUCCGGAGGUGUCCCUGCACUUCACAUGCAGUCUGUGUGACAGAAAGGUCCCUUGCGCGAGCUCGCUGCCUGAAGUCUGCAUUUACAUUCCAGGCAAGCAAGAGGCCCAGAAUCAGACCCUGGCUUGGGUCCAGAAACCAGUUUGGGCACAGGCUCUGACUGUGGGAAGUGGGGCAAAGGGGAAUCUUGGAUAUUGGCCUGGAGAACCCAAGGGAUGGUGUUGGGCUAUGUUCCAGGGAUGGGCGAGGGCGUAGGAACUACCUCCACACUGAAGGGUCAGCAGUGGAGGUGUGGGCUCCAUUCUAAGAGAUGGCCCCGGGUGGGUGAACAGGGAGGAGGUGAUCCCCAGGCCUGGGAUGGAAGGGUCAGUUUAUGGGGCGCCUGUGGCUUCGCCUGUGGGUGAAGAGGGAGCUGUUAAAAGCACUGAGCUGAUUCGGACAAAUAAAGAUUUCUUUCUG
Molecule: long non-coding RNA, 4349 nt
Filed under: Sus scrofa (pig)
Lineage: Eukaryota; Metazoa; Chordata; Mammalia; Artiodactyla; Suidae
Description: lncRNA (ENSSSCG00000060904.1, ENSSSCG00090038108.1, ENSSSCG00105040877.1)
Source: RNAcentral